RNAcentral lists this ribosomal RNA (474 nucleotides) under uncultured bacterium. RNAcentral's name for it is "bacterial SSU rRNA". It matches the Rfam family "Bacterial small subunit ribosomal RNA", at positions 328 to 793 of the family's 1533-position model. The record is from RNAcentral.
CUCUGUGACUCCUACGGGAGGCAGCAGUGGGGAAUAUUGCACAAUGGGGGAAACCCUGAUGCAGCCAUGCCGCGUGUGUGAAGAAGGCCUUCGGGUUGUAAAGCACUUUCAGUAGGGAGGAAGGUAGUGUAGUUAACACCUGCAUUAUUUGACGUUACCUACAGAAGAAGCACCGGCUAACUCCGUGCCAGCAGCCGCGGUAAUACGGAGGGUGCGAGCGUUAAUCGGAAUUACUGGGCGUAAAGCGCAUGCAGGCGGCCUGUUAAGUCAGAUGUGAAAGCCCCGGGGCUUAACCCUCGGAAUUGCAUUUGAAACUGGCAGGCUAGAGUCUUGUAGAGGGGGUAGAAUUUCAGGUGUAGCGGUGAAAUGCGUAGAGAUCUGAAGGAAUACCAGUGGCGAAGGCGGCCCCCUGGACAAAGACUGACGCUCAGAUGCGAAAGCGUGGGGAGCAAACAGGAUUAGAUACCCUGGUAG